GCAUUGGUGGUUCAGUGGUGGAAAUAUUGCUUUCUACAUUAGAGACCAGGGCUCGAUUCCCAGCCAAUGCA
This 71-nucleotide transfer RNA is filed under the name Loxodonta africana (African savanna elephant). It matches the Rfam family "tRNA". Rfam says of the family: Transfer RNA (tRNA) molecules are approximately 80 nucleotides in length. Their secondary structure includes four short double-helical elements and three loops (D, anti-codon, and T loops). Further hydrogen bonds mediate the characteristic L-shaped molecular structure. tRNAs have two regions of fundamental functional importance: the anti-codon, which is responsible for specific mRNA codon recognition, and the 3' end, to which the tRNAs corresponding amino acid is attached (by aminoacyl-tRNA synthetases). tRNAs cope with the degeneracy of the genetic code in two manners: having more than one tRNA (with a specific anti-codon) for a particular amino acid; and 'wobble' base-pairing, i.e. permitting non-standard base-pairing at the 3rd anti-codon position. Lineage: Eukaryota; Metazoa; Chordata; Mammalia; Proboscidea; Elephantidae. The record is from Rfam by way of RNAcentral.